UACGUAGGGUUCGAGCGUUGUCCGGAAUUAUUGGGCGUAAAGAGCUCGUAGGCGGUCUGUCGCGUCGAUCGUGAAAACUUGGGGCUUAACCCUGAGCUUGCGGUCGAUACGGGCAUGACUGGAGUUCGGCAGGGGAGACUGGAAUUCCUGGUGUAGCGGUGAAAUGCGCAGAUAUCAGGAGGAACACCGGUGGCGAAGGCGGGUCUCUGGGCCGAUACUGACGCUGAGACGCGAAAGCGUGGGGAGCGAACAGG
This 254-nucleotide ribosomal RNA is filed under the name uncultured bacterium. Its description in RNAcentral is "partial 16S ribosomal RNA". It matches the Rfam family "Bacterial small subunit ribosomal RNA", at positions 524 to 776 of the family's 1533-position model. The record is from RNAcentral.